AACGUGAGGGGCGCACGUUGUCCGGAAUCACUGGGCGUAAAGGGUACGCAGGCGGUGGAGAAAGUCGGGUGUGAAAGCCUCAGGCUUAACCUGAGGGGGACGCUUGAUACUUCUCCACUUGAGGAAGGGAGAGGGAGGUGGAAUUCCCGGUGUAGCGGUGAAAUGCGCAGAUAUCGGGAGGAAAACCAGUGGCGAAGGCGGCCUCCUAUCCCUUUCCUGACGAUCAGGUACGAAAGCUAGGGGAGCGAACCGG
Molecule: ribosomal RNA, 253 nt
Filed under: uncultured bacterium
Lineage: Bacteria
Description: partial 16S ribosomal RNA
Rfam family: Bacterial small subunit ribosomal RNA
Source: RNAcentral